RNAcentral lists this ribosomal RNA (246 nucleotides) under uncultured Gardnerella sp. RNAcentral describes it as "partial 16S ribosomal RNA". It matches the Rfam family "Bacterial small subunit ribosomal RNA", at positions 109 to 355 of the family's 1533-position model. Lineage: Bacteria; Bacillati; Actinomycetota; Actinomycetes; Bifidobacteriales; Bifidobacteriaceae. The record is from RNAcentral.
AGUAAUGCGUGACCAACCUGCCCCAUGCUCCAGAAUAGCUCUUGGAAACGGGUGGUAAUGCUGGAUGCUCCAACUUGACGCAUGUCUUGUUGGGAAAGUGUUUAGUGGCAUGGGAUGGGGUCGCGUCCUAUCAGCUUGUAGGCGGGGUAAUGGCCCACCUAGGCUUCGACGGGUAGCCGGCCUGAGAGGGCGGACGGCCACAUUGGGACUGAGAUACGGCCCAGAUUCCUACGGGAGGCAGCAGCA